Molecule: transfer-messenger RNA, 388 nt
Filed under: Minisyncoccota bacterium
Lineage: Bacteria; Bacillati; Minisyncoccota
Also listed under: 1 other name
Rfam family: transfer-messenger RNA
About the family: Bacterial tmRNA, also known as 10Sa RNA or SsrA, is named for its dual tRNA and mRNA-like properties. Its role is to liberate the mRNA from a stalled ribosome.
Source: RNAcentral
GGGGGUGACUAGAUUCGACAGUGAGCCCUGUGUUUAUGUGCAAAGUGGCAGUGAGAAGUCUGCCUUAUCACUUUCUCAAAACAAUAAGUGUAAAUAAAAUUACGCGCGGAGUUCUCUCACCUUUACAGGCGAAGGACUUCGGCUUCGCUUACGCGUAACCGCCUAAGCGACCAUCAAACUACCUGACUUCCGAUAUGGUAAUGCGAUGUCAAACCUUCGGGAUAGGAAUAGUGACUUGACCCGCCACUUUUCCAAAACUAAGGGUAUCGAUAUAGUGUGAUUUUGUUUACUCUUAACACACCAUAUUUAAACUUAGAAUAAACUACACUUUGUAGACGCAUUCUUGCAGACUUUCAUGGACGGGGUUUCAUAACCCCCACCUCCACAC